AACCACUAUUUGCCAGAAAGAAAUAAACACAGCUGUUUUCUUUGGUCGUCCGUCACAACUCUUUGCACCUUUGAGUAAAAUUGCGAUAAUUUACACUUUCCAAUAAAAUAAAUUUCAAUUCUGUGUUAUUUUGAUUUUAAAAUCGCUAUUUUGUGAAAGGCCAGCUGUGGUAUCAACCGCACUUCAAUGCCCAACAAUGGCCAGGUAGAGGAACUUUAUUAAAUCAGUAGCCGUUUUGUGUGGAAAGGCCGAAUACAGCAAUAGACUCGGAAAUAUCUGGAGCUGCGACAAGGUAUGACUACUCCCGUUAUGUGAUUUCCGAAUCAAUGUCGAAUGCAUUUCAAAAUAAUCGAAUCCCGCUAGAGAAGAUAAAAACAUGCGAAACGCCAAAGUGAUGGAUCCCUGAUGUUGAUGGCGUUAUUGAUGUAAAGUUACUACGUCCACACGGAAGACCAAGGCUGUAUUAAAUACGUUCAAUUGCGAUUGAAUUUGAUUAGAUUUUGCUCGUUUUGUCGUAACGGAACAACGAAGCAAAGCAGCAGAGUAUCAUCCGAGUUUUAAUGUGCACACCGUGACGAGUUUCCAACAACUGUCAACUGGAUAAAUAAACAAACCCAUCUGAGCCGCGCCAACCAGCAGCCAUUCAGCCAGAUAUUAUACACCACCACCACCACCGUCAGUCAACAACAAGAACAACAUAAGGCAAUGUCCAACUGGAGCGCCAGUGGAGGAAGUAUGCACCAUCCACAAUACGGUAGUACGUCGUUGUUGCAAACGAAUAUAACAUUCGAUGGCGAAUUGCGGGCUUCUCUUUAUUACAGUUUGAAACUGGCUCUUUUGUAUCCGUUUCUCUCGGUGUUUACCAUUUACUCUCACUUGCACAAACACCUUAUUUUGUCCAAUACCACUGCUGCCAUCUGCUGGUAACGAAAGGUUAUUAAUUCCUUGGCAAUGUAUCUCCUUCCAAUAAAAUGUAUAACACUUAAAACAGUGGUGAACUUCCCCUUUGAAGGGGUAAUGUGGGAUCUAUGUGGAUACAAUCGUUUUAUCAGUUUAUGUAUGUUUAAAUACCUAUAUCGGCUACAAAUCAAUACUGGAUGUUCAUGUCUAUUCUCCUAGUGGCUGUAUAUUUACCACAUAACAAAUGAAUUCUUUCCACUAGCAACAUGUGUUACUACAUACCAGCAAUUAAAGUAUUUCCUAUCUUUCA
This is a long non-coding RNA of Stomoxys calcitrans (stable fly), 1210 nucleotides long. RefSeq lists it as uncharacterized. The record is from RefSeq and is a predicted model, not a curated record. The transcript is spliced from 2 exons. NCBI's taxonomy places the organism in Eukaryota, Metazoa, Arthropoda, Insecta, Diptera, Muscidae.